AUUGAACGCUGGCGGCAGGCCUAACACAUGCAAGUCGAGCGGAUGAAGGGAGCUUGCUCCUGGAUUCAGCGGCGGACGGGUGAGUAAUGCCUAGGAAUCUGCCUGGUAGUGGGGGAUAACGUCCGGAAACGGGCGCUAAUACCGCAUACGUCCUGAGGGAGAAAGUGGGGGAUCUUCGGACCUCACGCUAUCAGAUGAGCCUAGGUCGGAUUAGCUAGUUGGUGGGGUAAAGGCCUACCAAGGCGACGAUCCGUAACUGGUCUGAGAGGAUGAUCAGUCACACUGGAACUGGGACACGGUCCAGACUCCUACGAGAGGCAGCAGUGGGGAAUAUUGGACAAUGGGCGAGAGCCUGAUCCAGCCAUGGCGCGUGUGUGAAGAAGGUCUUCGGAUUGUAAAGCACUUUAAGUUGGGAGGAAGGGCAGUAAGUUAAUACCUUGCUGUUUUGACGUUACCAACAGAAGAAGCACCGGCUAACUUCGUG
RNAcentral lists this ribosomal RNA (484 nucleotides) under uncultured bacterium. Its description in RNAcentral is "partial 16S ribosomal RNA". It matches the Rfam family "Bacterial small subunit ribosomal RNA", at positions 30 to 507 of the family's 1533-position model. The record is from RNAcentral.